UGCCCGCUCUGCCACCAGAACCGACUCACUGAGGGCAAGGCCGCAGGAUAGCUUUAUCUCGACCCUGCUUCGGUAUGAUGGAUAGAAAGAAGAGAAGUUGGACGACGUGUGGGCCUUGAGAAGAAGCUGGGGAGACAACAAUGGAGAAGAGUUUUUCCAGCAAGUUUACAGAGCACUUCAAUCUUCUACACAUCUAUUCUCAAUUUGCAGCUUAGUAUUUAUUCAUAUGCGGUCCAUUUCCUUGAAACUUCCAAGAUCUAGUGACUAUUCCUUUACAACCUGAGUAAAAUCCAUUUUCCCUCCCUCUGGACUAAUUCCCUCACCUCGACAUUGUUCUUCUGUUGAAUCCUUAAGUUGUGAACAUCCGUGACUUGAGAAUUUUAAGCCUGCCAUGUGGAUUCCUGUCCCAAAUGCAGUUUGUUCCAAAUCAUCUCAUCAUA
Molecule: long non-coding RNA, 440 nt
Organism: Tachyglossus aculeatus (Australian echidna)
Lineage: Eukaryota; Metazoa; Chordata; Mammalia; Monotremata; Tachyglossidae
Exons: 3
Source: RefSeq, a predicted model, not a curated record